This 497-nucleotide ribosomal RNA is filed under the name uncultured bacterium. RNAcentral's name for it is "partial 16S ribosomal RNA". It matches the Rfam family "Bacterial small subunit ribosomal RNA", at positions 28 to 507 of the family's 1533-position model. The record is from RNAcentral.
GAUGAACGCUGGCGGCGUGCCUAAUACAUGCAAGUCGAGCGAACGGACGAGAAGCUUGCUUCUCUGAUGUUAGCGGCGGACGGGUGAGUAACACGUGGAUAACCUACCUAUAAGACUGGGAUAAAUUCGGGAAACCGGAGCUAAUACCGGAUAAUAUUUUGAACCGCAUGGUUCAAAAGUGAAAGACGGUCUUGCUGUCACUUAUAGAUGGAUCCGCGCUGCAUUAGCUAGUUGGUAAGGUAACGGCUUACCAAGGCAACGAUGCAUAGCCGACCUGAGAGGGUGAUCGGCCACACUGGAACUGAGACACGGUCCAGACUCCUACGGGAGGCAGCAGUAGGGAAUCUUCCGCAAUGGGCGGAAGCCUGACGGAGCAACGCCGCGUGAGUGAUGAAGGUCUUCGGAUCGUAAAACUCUGUUAUUAGGGAAGAACAUAUGUGUAAGUAACUGUGCACAUCUUGACGGUACCUAAUCAGAAAGCCACGGCUAACUACGUG